AACAAGGACUUUAUCUACCAAAAUGGCUAGCCUUGAUUCAGGCUACUCCUCUGCUUGGAAGGCAAAAUACAUCGGCAGAGAAGUGAAAGGAGAAAUUAAACCCAGCAGGAACACAGAAUGUGACACUUACCUUUUCUGAUUUUGUAAGGGGUGGAAGAUAUCAAGCAGUAACGAGGUGAAUUCCCCAGCAGGUACAACGGAGCAACAAUCCGCAGCGCGCGUAAGCAGGCAGGCUAGCCCUGACAGUGUGCAUGUGCUCUGAAACUGCAAGUUACUAUCAGGGCAACUU
RNAcentral lists this long non-coding RNA (289 nucleotides) under Homo sapiens (human). Its description in RNAcentral is "non-protein coding lnc-RANBP3L-5:3". The record is from RNAcentral. Lineage: Eukaryota; Metazoa; Chordata; Mammalia; Primates; Hominidae.